UACGUAGGGCGCAAGCGUUGUCCGGAAUUAUUGGGCGUAAAGAGCUCGUAGGCGGUUUGUCGCGUCUGCUGUGAAAACCUAAGGCUCAACCUUGGGCUUGCAGUGGGUACGGGCAGACUAGAGUGCGGUAGGGGUGACUGGAAUUCCUGGUGUAGCGGUGGAAUGCGCAGAUAUCAGGAAGAACACCCGUGGCGAAGGCGGUUCUCUGGGACGGUACUGACGCUGAGACGCGAAAGCGUGGGGAGCGAACAGG
Molecule: ribosomal RNA, 253 nt
Filed under: uncultured bacterium
Lineage: Bacteria
Description: partial 16S ribosomal RNA
Rfam family: Bacterial small subunit ribosomal RNA
Source: RNAcentral